UACGUAGGGUGCAAGCGUUGUCCGGAAUUAUUGGGCGUAAAGGGCUCGUAGGCGGUCUGUCACGUCGGGAGUGAAAACUCGGGGCUUAACCCCGAGCCUGCUUCCGAUACGGGCAGACUAGAGGUAUGCAGGGGAGAAUGGAAUUCCUGGUGUAGCGGUGAAAUGCGUAGAUAUCGGGAGGAACACCUGUGGCGAAAGCGGCUCACUGGACCAUAACUGACGCUGAUGCACGAAAGCUGGGGGAGCAAACAGG
Molecule: ribosomal RNA, 253 nt
Filed under: uncultured bacterium
Lineage: Bacteria
Description: partial 16S ribosomal RNA
Rfam family: Bacterial small subunit ribosomal RNA
Source: RNAcentral